UCCCUACUCUAAAUAUGAAAUGUUGGUGAACCACUCCCUGUGAAUGAUCAGCGUUCUCUCUGACAAGAGUAGAUUCGCGAUAUGAUAUGUAGGGCCACUAUGGCGAUGUAUGGCUGUGGUCGUCAUCUAUACCUAAGAUGGAAAUAAAACUAACCUAAUAUGGAAAUAGAAUCGAUUGGUCAUUCAUAGUGGUAAUCGGGAAUUCCCUCUGUUCUCAGUGGAUAUAUAUUGGAACGACUUUGCAUAAACAUCAACAAAAGAGUUAAUAAGACACAAACAUGAUUAGAAUAGUCAUUGACACUCUAUGCUGAGUUUGUAUGAUGGUUC
RNAcentral lists this long non-coding RNA (327 nucleotides) under Carica papaya (papaya). Its description in RNAcentral is "long non-coding RNA (CPAP_LNC007079)". The record is from RNAcentral. Lineage: Eukaryota; Viridiplantae; Streptophyta; Magnoliopsida; Brassicales; Caricaceae.